This 370-nucleotide ribosomal RNA is filed under the name uncultured organism. RNAcentral's name for it is "bacterial SSU rRNA". It matches the Rfam family "Bacterial small subunit ribosomal RNA", at positions 526 to 896 of the family's 1533-position model. The record is from RNAcentral.
CGUAGGGUGCAAGCGUUAAUCGGAAUUACUGGGCGUAAAGCGUGCGCAGGCGGUUGUGCAAGACGGAUGUGAAAUCCCCGGGCUCAACCUGGGAACUGCAUUUGUGACUGCACGGCUAGAGUGUGUCAGAGGGGGGUAGAAUUCCACGUGUAGCAGUGAAAUGCGUAGAUAUGUGGAGGAAUACCAAUGGCGAAGGCAGCCCCCUGGGAUAACACUGACGCUCAUGCACGAAAGCGUGGGGAGCAAACAGGAUUAGAUACCCUGGUAGUCCACGCCCUAAACGAUGUCAACUAGUUGUCGGGUCUUAAUUGACUUGGUAACGCAGCUAACGCGUGAAGUUGACCGCCUGGGGAGUACGGUCGCAAGAUUA